Molecule: non-coding RNA, 88 nt
Organism: Stachybotrys elegans
Lineage: Eukaryota; Fungi; Ascomycota; Sordariomycetes; Hypocreales; Stachybotryaceae
Source: the annotation of a GenBank genome assembly
GCAGGAUUGGUGUAGUGGCUAUCACGUGUCGUUCACAUUAGAUGAACAUUUUCCGACAAGGUCGCGAGUUCGAUCCUCGCAUCCUGUA